UCUGCUGUUACAAAUAAAGUUCAGGAACAUUGGUGACUAAUUUUAGUGUUGCAUCAACCUAACUGACUGUAAGUCUUCUGUCUUAAACACAGACCAAAUCAGGCCAGGGUGAGUAAAGUUGGAGAUCCCUUAAGCACAUGCUACAGAGUCCCAUGUGCCCGGAACAUCAAAGACUCUCUCAUUGUCUCCUACAGCUUGCCCCAGUAAGCAACCAACUACACGUCCCAUUUCUUUAGGGUGUGAUAACAUCAAGAAUAUAAACAGUAAAAUUGAUGUUCCACAUGAAAGGCAGCCAUUUCAGCCAGGUAGAAGAGCUUUCUCUCAAGAUAACCAUCACAUUUCAUUAUGCAGAAGUAUAUGAAAGGAUAUUACUUCCAGUUUCUCUAGGUUCAAAAGAAAGAGGAGUGAAGAGGAGUAAAACACACAUCUAUUAAAAAGCAAGAAGAUUAAAUAAAUUGAAGCUUUUUAUUUCUCUUUCUCUGCCUAAGGUAAGUCCAACAGUGUUUAAAAACCUAAGUUUGUGUUUUGUUGCAAUGUAAAAUAGGUCUCUUGUAUAGCCUGCUUGUUUUAAUAUCAAAAAAUAGCCGUGUGAAGCCCCAAGCAAGCAGGGAGGGAGGGUGCAGCACAAUCUGCAAAAAGAUGACUAUUUUACAAAUUUAAGCAUCUCACAUACAGGCAUCCAUCAAUAAGACUGUAGUGAUAUCACUGCUCGCUGCAAUGUUGUUAUAAAUAUGUUGCAGUGAGCAUUGCUGCAGGUCUUAAGGCUCUGUAUGACUCUGUUUGGGGAGAAUAAAAUAGGAUUUUACAACAUCUGAUCUCAAUGCAUUUUGAUUCUAGUGACGCAUUUGUGAGCAUGACUGUCAAAGAAGCAAAUAAGCAUGUAGAAGGUGACUUUAUGGCGGCAUCCAUAAAGAAAAUUGAAGUGGGGGAAGUGGCAACGUUUUGGGUAAUUCAGGAAAGUGAGGGAAAUAUAUAGUUUGGAUUCUGAAUUAUUUAUUCAGGCUUUCUAUGUUAAUCCAAUCCAUCUUAGUUGUUACUCAAUUUUACAUUUCCUGUGUAGCUGUAGGCUGUAAUAUGUUCCUUUUAGUGUGAUCCUAGUAGAUUCACAGUCAGUGGGCUGAAUGGGCUUUCCUUGUCUUCUCAUUUGUAUGCAAUGAUAAUUAUGGUUGUAGUAAACAUUUAUUGAACAUUUAUGUGCCAAUCACAGCUCUAAUUACUCUACUGCUCAUUCAUCCUUUAUAAUGGCUCUAUGAGGUAGAUAUUAACAUUUCCAUUUUAUAGAUGAAGAAAACAAGACUCAGACGACUCAAAAAAUUUGCACAACUGCAAGUAGCACAUCUAGAGUUCAAAAUUGCUUGACUAAUUUUAAGGCUCUGCUUUUUAUCUGCUACACUAUGCUGAGAGCUGUGAAAAUGAGGUUUGAUUCAAAGGCAACCUUAGUGUUGUUUUCGGUCCUCAUUCUAUAGCUUAAUUCAUAGCAAGUAGCAUAUAAGAAAAAACUGUGAGGAUGAAACACAACGGCACCGAGUGUGGGAUCUAGUUUUCUGAAAAGCCUCAGAGGAGUCAGGUAUUGCAACUUGCAAAGAUGUGAGGGAUGAGGAUUGCUCAAUGGAAUAUGAAAGGUGGAAGAGACCUGGGCAGAUUAAUUUCUCCACCUUCCUCUCUCUAACAGACUGCCCCAAGAUGUGAUUCUUCUUUGCAGUCUUUCUGGAGAAGUUGUAUGUGACAAGCAAACAUAUCUCCUGAGUGUCCUGUUGGUCUCGUGGCAGCUUGUUGUAAAGUGGAGAAACAUCAUUUCACAUCACUUUUUCUUUGCCUCACUUCUCUCUCUCUUUUUUUUUUUUUUUUUUUUUUUUUUUUUAUCUCACCCUCACUCUUUUGGGCUUACACCUUCCAAAUAAAAGGUAUGCUACCAUAAUGGGGUGCUCGAUGGGGUGCCUCAUGUAAUACUUCUUAAAGUUCUGAGGCUGAAACAGUAAUCAAUAUAUGCAUAGGCCUUGUGUGCCAGACCCAUUGUGUCAGACACAUUAACUCACUUACUCCUGGCAAAAAACUUAAUGAAAUACUAUCAUUAUUAUCAUUCCCAUUUUACAGAUAAGGAAAUUAAAGUACAGAGAUGUUAAGUCCUUCUGUGGAAUCCAGCAUAAAAAGAGGAUUUUGUACAUGGUGACUGCACAUGGACACGUGAAUGAAUGAAUGAAUGAAUGCAAGCUUGCUCAAUGGAAUAAAAUGGUCGGGAAAAUUUCAACUUCUAACAUUCACUGGACGCUAUCACUUACAUUUUUCCAUUUUCUGAAGAAAAAUCAAUCCAGCAUCUAGCAAAAUACAUUGCACAGAUUAGAUAAUCAACAUUUACUUGUUAAAAUAAUGCAUACAAUAUUUUCUAAGCUCCAUUUUUGGGGGUGAGACAACAGAUACAAAAUAUUUUUCUAAAUAUUAAUGGUUGCACAGACAUACAAGGGAUUGAAUAACAUGGCUCAAGGAGCUCAGACUAUGAGGGAAGAUACUAACUUGAAAGAUACUUUGCUACACCUUUGCUUUGUUUACCUGAAAUAGAGCUUAGCUGCUGAAAUUCAAAGUUCCUUAGGAUUAUAACACCAACAACGAAUAAAACAAAUAAAAGAUACUGCUAUGAAAAUCAAUGUGGUAUCCAGAAAAAUAAAUAGCCAAGAAAUGAA
Homo sapiens (human) is the source of this 2678-nucleotide long non-coding RNA. RefSeq lists it as uncharacterized. Lineage: Eukaryota; Metazoa; Chordata; Mammalia; Primates; Hominidae. The record is from RefSeq and is a predicted model, not a curated record. The transcript has 3 exons.